CCAGCAGCUGCGGUAAUUCCAGCUCCAAUAGCGUAUAUUUAAGUUGUUGCAGUUAAAAAGCUCGUAUUUGGAUUUCGGGUGGGGUGGUGCGGUCCGCCUCAGGUGUGCACUGCUCCGCUCCACCUUCCUGCCGGGGAUGGGCUCCUGGGCUUAACUGUUCGGGACUCGGAGUCGGCGAUGUUACUUUGAGUAAAUUAGAGUGUUCAAAGCAGGCCUACGCUCUGAAUACAUUAGCAUGGAAUAGCACGAUAGGACUCUGGCCUAUCUGUUGGUCUGUGGGACCGGAGUAAUGAUUAAGAGGGACAGUCGGGGGCAUUCGUAUUCCAUUGUCAGAGGUGAAAUUCUUGGAUUUAUGGAAGACGAACAUCUGCGAAAGCAUUUGCCAAGGAUGUUUUCAUUGAUCAAGAACGAAAGU
This 415-nucleotide ribosomal RNA is filed under the name uncultured eukaryote. Its description in RNAcentral is "SSU rRNA". It matches the Rfam family "Eukaryotic small subunit ribosomal RNA", at positions 567 to 990 of the family's 1831-position model. The record is from RNAcentral.